RNAcentral lists this ribosomal RNA (448 nucleotides) under uncultured bacterium. RNAcentral's name for it is "partial 16S ribosomal RNA". It matches the Rfam family "Bacterial small subunit ribosomal RNA", at positions 329 to 794 of the family's 1533-position model. The record is from RNAcentral.
ACCCAGACUCCUACGGGAGGCAGCAGUGGGGAAUAUUGCACAAUGGGGGAAACCCUGAUGCAGCGACGCCGCGUGAAGGAAGAAGUAUUUCGGUAUGUAAACUUCUAUCAGCAGGGAAGAAAAUGACGGUACCUGACUAAGAAGCCCCGGCUAACUACGUGCCAGCAGCCGCGGUAAUACGUAGGGGGCAAGCGUUAUCCGGAUUUACUGGGUGUAAAGGGGGCGCAGACGGCAGCGCAAGCCAGGAGUGAAAGCCCGGGGCCCAACCCCGGGACUGCUCUUGGAACUGCGCGGCUGGAGUGCAGGAGGGGCAGGCGGAAUUCCUGGUGUAGCGGUGAAAUGCGUAGAUAUCAGGAGGAACACCGGUGGCGAAGGCGGCCUGCUGGACUGCGACUGACGUUGAGGCCCGAAAGCGUGGGGAGCAAACAGGAUUAGAUACCCGAGUAAA